GAUGAACGCUGGCGGCGUGCCUAAUACAUGCAAGUCGAGCGAACGGACGAGAAGCUUGCUUCUCUGAUGUUAGCGGCGGACGGGUGAGUAACACGUGGAUAACCUACCUAUAAGACUGGGAUAACUUCGGGAAACCGGAGCUAAUACCGGAUAAUAUUUUGAACCGCAUGGUUCAAAAGUGAAAGACGGUCUUGCUGUCACUUAUAGAUGGAUCCGCGCUGCAUUAGCUAGUUGGUAAGGUAACGGCUUACCAAGGCAACGAUGCAUAGCCGACCUGAGAGGGGGAUCGGCCACACUGGAACUGAGACACGGUCCAGACGCCUACGGGAGGCAGCAGUAGGGAAUCUUCCGCAAUGGGCGAAAGCCUGACGGAGCAACGCCGCGUGAGUGAUGAAGGUCUUCGGAUCGGAAAACUCUGUUAUUAGGGAAGAACAUAUGUGUAAGUAACUGUGCACAUCUUGACGGUACCUAAUCAGAAAGCCACGGCUAACUACGUG
This 497-nucleotide ribosomal RNA is filed under the name uncultured bacterium. RNAcentral describes it as "partial 16S ribosomal RNA". It matches the Rfam family "Bacterial small subunit ribosomal RNA", at positions 28 to 507 of the family's 1533-position model. The record is from RNAcentral.